This 501-nucleotide ribosomal RNA is filed under the name uncultured bacterium. Its description in RNAcentral is "partial 16S ribosomal RNA". It matches the Rfam family "Bacterial small subunit ribosomal RNA", at positions 30 to 523 of the family's 1533-position model. The record is from RNAcentral.
AUUGAACGCUGGCGGCAGGCCUAACACAUGCAAGUCGAGCGGGGAGAGGUAGCUUGCUACCUGACCUAGCGGCGGACGGGUGAGUAAUGCUUAGGAAUCUGCCUAUUAGUGGGGGACAACAUUCCGAAAGGAAUGCUAAUACCGCAUACGCCCUACGAGGGAAGGCAGGGGAUCUUCGGACCUUGCGCUAAUAGAUGAGCCUAAGUCAGAUUAGCUAGUUGGUGGGGUAAAGGCCUACCAAGGCGACGAUCUGUAGCGGGUCUGAGAGGAUGAUCCGCCACACUGGGACUGAGACACGGCCCAGACUCCUACGGGAGGCAGCAGUGGGGAAUAUUGGACAAUGGGCGAAAGCCUGAUCCAGCUAUGCCGCGUGUGUGAAGAAGGCCUUUUGGUUGUAAAGCACUUUAAGCGAGGAGGAGGCUACUUAGAUUAAUACUUUAGGAUAGUGGACGUUACUCGCAGAAUAAGCACCGGCUAACUCUGUGCCAGCCGCCGCGGUAA